Molecule: RNA transcript, 1803 nt
Organism: Folsomia candida
Lineage: Eukaryota; Metazoa; Arthropoda; Collembola; Entomobryomorpha; Isotomidae
Exons: 4
Source: RefSeq, a predicted model, not a curated record
UCUUUGCAUUACAUAAACAUGUCUUACUAAAUCCCAAUUCAUAAAAAGAUAAUGGCAUUUCAUUUGAUUACGUUUUUCCAAGUAGUCAUUACCAUUCUACAAAUUAAUAAUGGAAUGGGGAAUGUGAUAAAGUGUGAAAAAUUUGAAGAUAAAAGAAGUCCAAUUAACGGGAAGGAUCAGGAUUCAAGUUGGAUAAAUAUUCCUCCACAUUUGGUCUCAACGGUGGAGGAAUUGAAAUAUUUCAGUAUCCAUAAAUAUAAUUCAUCUUACAUAAGAAAAUGCGAAACCCAUUCAGAUCGGAUCCUGCUUCCUCUCGAUCCGGAAGGGUAUAACUUGACUGAAGCCAAGGAGAAACAGAGACGGCGAUGGUACGAGUAUCCCAUGUGGGAGGAACAAAGACCAACCACUAAAUUCACAUUUAAUGGAUUAUUAGAAAACAAGGGACAAUUGCUGUCACAUAAAUUCUAUUGUCUGGCAAGGCUCAUUCCAUUUGUAAGCAACACGUUUGAUCGAGUCCCAGGAAAUAGAGGUGCUAAACCCUGCUCGCUGGUGGUGGCUGCCUGACCAUGUAUUUUCCUCUCUUUGAUAUGAGAACACCACACAACUUAUGCUUUGUCAAUGUUCCCGGCCACGUAGGAACACAGAAUUAUUUACUACUGUCUACGCAAGCAGCCCAUGUUAAUUUUACCUUUUCGAAAAAUCGCCAAAACUCCAAGACGGACAAAAAUCGCGUGGGGUUUUAAACUUUUUUAUUUCCUUAGGCCCAAAGGCAUCGAUUGGCUUAUCUCUCUAUGAGCGAUUCUUGUCCGUCUUCUCGAUAAUCGAGUUUUUCAAUACAUUAUAAAUUUCUGAUUUUUUUGAAUAUUUGAAUUUUUGAAAAUUUUUCCUAUCAAUGAAUGAUCAAUGAAUGAAAUCUGUAAAUGUAACCUACCCCUUGAACCAACACUUUGGCGACGAAAGCAUUUUCAAUGCACUGCUAUAUCUUUGCGAAAAAAAUUAAUUUUCAAAUUUUGAUUUUUAUGAUAUGUUUUAUUUUAUAUUAUGCAUCUAUGAUAAGAUUGUGGACAAGAUAUCAAAUAUGGGUGCGACGACGAUCGUGUGGGUUCAGAUGGAAUGAGCCAUCAUCCCCCCUUCAGCAUUUCAGAUAGCCACAUUGAACUUGAAAUCUGUCCGAUCAACUGCAACAAUUAUCCAUCUUCUAAAACCAUUUGCAUCCCGACAUGUUGUGGAAUCAAUGCAUUCUUUGACUAUUGGAAUAACACGUGUCAUCAGAGAUUAGGAAUUCCUACGUCGAAUUACGUUGGCCUCUACAAAUCUCCAGAGGAAGAGUAUAAUGUUCAAGAUCAAGAAAACGAUCUGGAUUUGGUGUUUCUACGCAGAAAUCUGAAACAAAAUUGUACAAAAAUUGGGAAGUAUCCGUACACAACAGUUGUCGAGAAUGAGAAGGACCCCGCAGGUAGAAGGGACGUUGGGUUUCUGAAACGGUAUUUGGUGGACGGACGAAUGAUGCGUCAGACGGAGGAUGGCAAAACCUGGGUUGAGAUGGAGCUGCCCCCAGAGAAAUUUUGUAUUCAGCGCAUGUCCGUGUAUGACCUUCCUUGGGAUGUGGACCGGGAAUUGUAUCAAGUGCUUUUCGUCUGCGAUGAUACCAAAACCAAAUCUAGCGGAUGUUUUACUUUAUUAAGUGGUCACCAAUAUAUUUUAUUUUUGAUAUUAGUCAUAAAAAUUCUUGAACAACACAUGUGAACGAAUUGAUUUUUAAUAAUAUAUUAUAUAUAUAUAUAUAUAUAUAUAUAAGUGCAA